Molecule: long non-coding RNA, 2532 nt
Organism: Heterocephalus glaber (naked mole-rat)
Lineage: Eukaryota; Metazoa; Chordata; Mammalia; Rodentia; Bathyergidae
Source: RefSeq, a predicted model, not a curated record
UCCCAGUUCAGGGCAGAUUAGAACUAGCAAGUGAGAGGUAGAUGAAGUGAGGGCAGCUGGUCAGGGAGGGAAGAGACACAGGUGGAAACCAGCACACAAGAUGUGGCACUGGAGGGCCAUCGAGUGUCCAGACAAACAGGUGCUCCCCUUCUGCCGCCCCAGUGUGUGCUGGAUACAGGCCAGUGACUGAGCCAUCACGACGGCCACGUGUCGUCAAAGGAAGUUUGCUUUCUUUCUGUUUUAGGAGGGGGAUGAGGCUGAAAAAUGUUUAAUAACACUACUUUGUAAACAAGGAAAAGGUUAAAUGAUUAAAAGGGUACACUUAUCUGAAAAGUCACACAGAGAACAAACUCACUAAACUCAACGAAUGAGUAUAAUAUACCCACAGAGAUGCAUGCAAAUAGAACCUCUAGAAAGUCAUCCAGAGAAAAGGAGGGAAAGAGCAGCAGGCAGUAGUCUGCUUGCUACGGAGAGCACUUCAUUUCAGGGUCCGCACGAGAAGCCCUGGAGAAGCCAAGCUGGCGACUGAGUACAAGGCUUUGCUCUUCUGCCAGUGGCUUGAAUAGACUCUGGUGGCUCAGAGAGCUGCCUAAGCUAUUCUCUCAGAAGCCCACUAGUGGGAAACAAAUAAGCUGCUUGACUUUUCUUGGUAGGAGGGGGUUGAACACUCCUAAUUCAAUGUAAAUAAUUCUCAAAGCCAAGCACUUGCAGCAAAAAUGACUGGAAUGGUCACAGACACUAAAACUGUGCCGUGCAAAACAGGUCCUGGGUCUCUGUGUGCACAAACACAGAGCCCAGCAGCUGAUGUAGUUACUCCGGGAGAAGCCACUCCAACCCAGUCAUUCCCAGCUACAUGCCGGGUGCCAGGGAGCUGCUACACUCCACUGGCACCAGAGUCUAAAGUUUGGGGUGGCUUGUUUACCAAGGAUGUGGGCAUGAAGGAUGCAGUGCUGAGGUGUGAGACGAACAUGGGGGUUCUCUGCAAUCCUCCAGUCACCUUUCAAUCUUGCAGAGCCUACACCCAACAGAGCACUGCUCUGCUUUAACACAGAAACUUACAAAUAUGCAAAUCAAGGUAAAUAAAAAGGAAAAAUUGGGUACCUUUUCUGAUUACUCACCCAUUUGUGUGUGUGUUACACACAAUUUUUAAAUGAACAGUAGGUGAUGUAUGAACCUCAGUGUUAUUUAAGGAAAACCCAUAAACAAUUAAAUAAAUUUACCAAGAAUGAAACGUAAGACUUUAGAUUAGUGGUUUCGAGUGGUCUUUUUUUACUUCAUGCAAGAAUAUUACCACCUACACUGAGACUGUGCUACUAGUAAAUUAUGAUUAUUAUCAUCAACCCAUUAUUAGUCAACAAUUUGCUGGCAUGGUCCUAAAUAAUCUACAUUCAUUAUCUUAUUUUAUUAUCAUAAUAGCAUGAGUCUAAGUAUUAAACCAGUUUUACUGAUGGAGAAAAUGAGGCCUAGAGCUGUGAUUUGCUGGGGGAGCCAGAACAAGGAAAAGCUUGGGGUCCCAGAAAACACAGAUUCAUCCCAGAGGCAAAGGCUUAAUCACACCAGAGUUACAACAAUAGAUUCAUCUGCUGAUGGACAUACUGGAUGUGCUACUUCUAAAGUUGAGCAAUCGUGAAUUGUGCUGCUAUAAACGCAUGGCGGGGGUCUUUGGACCUUGGCCUCCAGGCAGACUGCUCAGAGAAGGGAAGAGGACAGACUACAAGGCAGAGCCUCUGAGCAGACGCAAGAAAGGCCCUGGGAGACUGGAGCCAUGCCUAACACCAGCCCCUGCCCACAUUCCCCGUCGGAUGGGGCUUGUGCUGGGGUCUGCCUGGAUCGCCUGCUCAUCCACGAGGCAGGGAAGAAGCAGCACGCGGCUCCUCUCCCACUCAGGACGUGGGCUGUACACUGCACUUCUUUGGGCUUCAGCUUCUGCAUCGGUAAAGCACACCGAGGGACAUUCAUACUUCACCAGAUUCUUGAGUGAUUUAAAUAACCCCCUACAAACAAGCGCUUAGAACAGAGCCUGCAAAUACCAAACCCUCACUAUUUAUCCGUUGUUUUCACCAUUUAAUAAACUAAUCCCCGACAUAGGUACAGUGGUUAGAAUCGUGUCACAGAGGAGAAAACUGAUUUGAGAGACAAUAAUGGUUUACCUAAUGGCGUCCAGAAUGCAAGUGCCUGGGAUUCCUGAACUGACUGUCCAACUCGAGGGCUAUUAUUACCUCUUUGUUUUUAGAUAAGAAGGCAAUGGUGUGUGUCUUGACAUUCUGUAGAGUAAUUCUACAGUUUACCUAAAAGAAUAAGGAAGAAAUGUUUGUUUAAAAAAAUAGAAAAAUAAUGGGUGAUAAGUCAUACAUGAUUGCAUCAAAAAGGUAAACAUUUCUAUGUGAAAAUAGAAGAUAAUUAGGGUGAAGGCAGUGUUCUUUAUCUUGAUUGUGGGGUUACACAACUAUAAUUGUAGCCAAAAUUUUUUAAAAUUUACAUUUAAAAGGGGAGAAUUUUGUGUGUGAAAAUUAUACCACCAUAAAAACUUGA